RNAcentral lists this ribosomal RNA (246 nucleotides) under uncultured bacterium. RNAcentral describes it as "partial 16S ribosomal RNA". It matches the Rfam family "Bacterial small subunit ribosomal RNA", at positions 524 to 768 of the family's 1533-position model. The record is from RNAcentral.
UACGGGGGGGGCAAGCGUUGUUCGGAAUUAUUGGGCGUAAAGGGCUCGUAGGCGGCCAACUAAGUCGGAUGUGAAAUCCCCAGGCUUAACCUGGGAAUUGCAUCCGAUACUGGAUGGCUUGAAUCCGGGAGAGGGAUGCGGAAUUCCUGGUGUAGUGGUGAAAUACGUAGAUAUCAGGAGGAGCACGGUGGCGAAGGCGGCGAUCUGGCCAAGUACUGACCACUCAGAACCCGAAAGCCGUAGGGU